RNAcentral lists this ribosomal RNA (904 nucleotides) under uncultured bacterium. RNAcentral's name for it is "bacterial SSU rRNA". It matches the Rfam family "Bacterial small subunit ribosomal RNA", at positions 8 to 916 of the family's 1533-position model. The record is from RNAcentral.
AGAGUUUGAUCAUGGCUCAGGAUGAACGCUAGCGGGAGGCUUAACACAUGCAAGUCGAGCGGGAAGGGUAGCAAUACCCUGAGAGCGGCGCACGGGUGCGUAACGCGUAUGCAACCUGCCUUAUACAGGGGGAUAGCCCAUGGAAACGUGGAUUAAUAUCCCAUAGGACUUAUUGAUCGCAUGGUUAAUAAGUUAAAACUACGGUGGUAUAAGAUGGGCAUGCGUCUGAUUAGGUAGUUGGUAGGGUAACGGCCUACCAAGCCGACGAUCAGUAGGGGUUCUGAGAGGAUUACCCCCCACACUGGUACUGAGACACGGACCAGACUCCUACGGGAGGCAGCAGUGAGGAAUAUUGGUCAAUGGGCGAGAGCCUGAACCAGCCAUCCCGCGUGCAGGAUGACGGCCCUAUGGGUUGUAAACUGCUUUUCUGCUCCAAGAAACCUGAUUACGUGUAAUCAGUUGACGGUAGAGUAGGAAUAAGCAUCGGCUAACUCCGUGCCAGCAGCCGCGGUAAUACGGAGGAUGCAAGCGUUAUCCGGAUUCAUUGGGUUUAAAGGGUGCGCAGGUGGGAAUGUAAGUCAGUGGUGAAAUACUGCCGCUUAACGGUAGAGCUGCCAUUGAUACUGCGUUUCUUGAGUAUGGUUGAGGUAGGUGGAAUGUGUUGUGUAGCGGUGAAAUGCAUAGAUAUGACACAGAACGCCGAUUGCGAAGGCAACUUACUAAGCCAUUACUGACGCUGAGGCACGAAAGCGUGGGUAGCGAACAGGAUUAGAUACCCUGGUAGUCCACGCUGUAAACGAUGUUCACUCGCUGUUUGCGAUACACAGUAAGCGGCUGAGCGAAAGCAUUAAGUGAACCACCUGGGGAGUACGAUCGCAAGGUUGAAACUCAAAUGAAUUGACGG